This 482-nucleotide ribosomal RNA is filed under the name uncultured bacterium. RNAcentral's name for it is "partial 16S ribosomal RNA". It matches the Rfam family "Bacterial small subunit ribosomal RNA", at positions 30 to 507 of the family's 1533-position model. The record is from RNAcentral.
AUUGAACGCUGGCGGCAUGCUUUACACAUGCAAGUCGAACGGUAACAGGCCGCAAGGUGCUGACGAGUGGCGAACGGGUGAGUAAUGCAUCGGAACGUGCCCAGUCGUGGGGGAUAACUACUCGAAAGAGUAGCUAAUACCGCAUACGAUCUAUGGAUGAAAGCGGGGGACCGUAAGGCCUCGCGCGAUUGGAGCGGCCGAUGUCAGAUUAGGUAGUUGGUGGGGUAAAGGCUCACCAAGCCAACGAUCUGUAGCUGGUCUGAGAGGAGGACCAGCCACACUGGGACUGAGACACGGCCCAGACUCCUACGGGAGGCAGCAGUGGGGAAUUUUGGACAAUGGGCGCAAGCCUGAUCCAGCAAUGCCGCGUGCAGGAAGAAGGCCUUCGGGUUGUAAACUGCUUUUGUACGGAACGAAACGGCUCUGGUUAAUACCCGGGGCUAAUGACGGUACCGUAAGAAUAAGCACCGGCUAACUACGUG